Brassica napus (rape) is the source of this 1966-nucleotide long non-coding RNA. RefSeq lists it as uncharacterized. The record is from RefSeq and is a predicted model, not a curated record. Lineage: Eukaryota; Viridiplantae; Streptophyta; Magnoliopsida; Brassicales; Brassicaceae. The transcript is spliced from 2 exons.
AUUAUUUUGGACUGCGUGCUAAAUUUAAAGGUUGUUUUGAAAAAGAUAAGUAUGCGCUGAGUUCAAUGUACUGAUAUUUGUUCGAAAUAGUAUUAAUAUUUUUUUAUGAAAUAAAUAAACUUUAUCAGAUUGUUUUAGUUUUAGUACUAUUUAUUUUUUUUUAAAUGAAGAAAUUUAAAAUUAGAUCCAAAUACAAGAUAGUAAUAUGAAAAUAUAAAAUAAACAAGAUAUAAGAAGUGAUUCCAUAAUGCUUUCAUGUGCUAUACGCAUUACAUUUAGUAAAAUGUGCUAUAUUUCACUGUUUUCUUGUGAAAGCUUGUUUACGUAACUUACAAAAUGGAUGUUGAGUACUUUGUUCAAAAAGAAACAGAAACAUAAACAUCUAUUUGUUACGAGAUUUAUAUAAAAAAAAAGAUUUCAUGUACUUUUCUAUAACAAUGCAUUGAUAUAAAAGUAAGAUAUGACGAUAUAGCUAUACUUGAGAUCUUGUUAAUGCACUUACACCUAGAUAAGAUCUUAUUAAUGCACAGAGUUUUGGGAUAUGAGAUUAUUCUAAUGAGAACGCAAUGGAAAUGCUCUAGUGUCUCUUGUAAUUUUUUUGUUGUUCGGUCUAACUGUCUAAGUCUUCACAUUAAAAUUUAAUUAAUUAUUUUGAUAUUUUUUUCACAGUUCUUUGGUCAAUUCUUGAAUUGCUUAUGUUUACAAAAUUGUUUUGUUCAAAGUUCAAACCUAAACAUUAGGUAAUAUUUAACAAAAAAUAUAUAUUUUUGUAUAUUUAUGGACUCAAUGUAAUAAAUAUUUGAUAUCUAUAAAUGAGAUUUUUACUCGUAUAAUUUUAUGAUUAUUUGUAUCUUCUUGUAACAAAAAAAUUAAACUAUUGAUCACAAUAAUUUUAAUGUAGAGCCUUUAAUAUUUUAGUAAUUUAUAAUCGUUAAAAUUAAAAAUACACAUAUACAAAAAAAAACUAAUUUUAUUAUAUAAUUAAUAUAAUUGUUUAAUUUAUUUAAUAAUAUAAAUUAAAAAAAUUGAUUGAAGAUAUACAAAUUGUUAACAAAUCAUUCUUUUUAUCAUUAAUUCUCAUAUUUAUUGAAAAUCACAUUAGAUAAUUAUGUGACUUUUAUUUAAGAAAAGAUGAAGUAGAUUUUCUUUUAACAUUUGAGUAAUGAGUAGUCCACUUUAUUAUAUAUUAUGACAGUUAAGAGCAUCAGAUUGAAAAGAAUUGUAAUGUUAACACAUACACAUUGUAAUCAAUGUUACAACUUAAAAGAUGAUUCUCAGUUAAUAUAUAAAAGAUAAUUAAGAAUGUUCCACUUUACUAUAUAUUAUGACAGUUGAGAACAUCAGAUUGAAAAAAUUUGUAAUGUUGACAAAUAAGCAUUGUAAUCAAUGUUAUAACUUAAAAGAUAAUUCUCAAUUAAUAUAUAAGAGAUUUUCUAUAUUUGUUGUUGACUAAAUAUAUUUUUAAAACUAAAAGAAUUUUUUUGUUAUAUUUGACAAAGAAAAUACUUAUUGGUAUGUUUGUGUUCUUAUAUGUAAUCAGAAUGUGCGAAGAAAAAUCAUAAGAAGCAAAAGAGAAUAACUGAAAAACAAUCCAAAAAUUUAGAGAUAAAAUAAAAAUGGCUACUACAAGGAAGACUUUAAUCACAUUGGUUUUUACUAUCCUUUUUCUCGAAUCUUCUUUUCAUUGUCGUUCUAUAGCCAGCGCUCUUACUCCAGAUAAUGGUUAUGGAGAAAUUAAGUCAGAGAUUUGCUUCACCGUCUUGUCACCGUGUAAUUGGCGACAUCCCAAUGGGGAAGCAAUGUGCAAUGACUAUUGUAGGAGAGAUAAAAACAAGUCCGGACAUUGUAAUGCUCAUUCUCAAUGUUGUUGUGUUUUUUAAGUAUGUGUCCAAGAUGAAAUCAUCUUAUCAUAAGUUUUUAAAUAUCUAUAACAGAAGAUCUAGAAUAAAAUAAACAACAUUUACCA